UUUCCUCAUAAUUUUACAAACAUGUACUGUAUAUAUGUAGCUGGAGAUGGUUGAUUGUGUGAAGUGCAUCGAGUAAAAAAAUAGCAAGUGACAUGUGAAUAAUUUUUAGAGAAAUGGGAUUACAAAAUAAAAGCACCAAUCCGACCCUUCUCCUUUCUCCUCUCCCUCUCCUCUUCUGAAGCCAUGUGGGAUGAAUUUUAGCAUAUGGCAUUUAUUUAGAAACUUUUCAGAGAUGAAAAACUUUAACAAAUUCAAUCUUACUCGGCAAAUAUCUUUUUCAAACUUGACAGAUUGUUUAUUCGUAUUUAAAAUGUUUAAUUCAGAAUGUUUACUACAUAUUGUCCAUAUCUUAUUUUGUGUUAUCUCAGAGUUUGGAUGAAAUUACUUUUUCUCAGUGAUGAAAACUGUUAAAAACAAUAUGUUGUCCAGAUUUUAGUGAACAAUGAGAUUUUCAUUUUCACAUUAAACAGACGUUUUCAUCUCUAAACCUAAAGCGAUUUAUGACAGGAGGCAAUAAUAUAAGUAUUAAAAUAGAUUACAACGUUUCAACUAUGUUAACCAAUAACUGUUGAGAGAAAGAGUAGGGUAAGAGAAGCGGAAUUAGCAUGUUAUUCAGGAAAAAUAUAUAGUUUUAAUAUAAUACUGAAUUCGAAAGAUCCUUAAUAAAGUACAGCACACCGAUACAGCACUAAAAAUGUACUCAAGUAAAGGUUAAAGUACACUAUUUUUAAACUGACUGCAUUUUCAUGGUGAACUAUUUUUGCUCGAUGAUGCAAUGGAACGUCUGAGCAUUGAGAGACGUAAAUGGGCGUUAUCUCAGCAUUGACAGAGGACUCAUCCCUAAUGUUUGAGAGCAGGGAGUACUGCUAAUUUUUUAAAGAUUUUGUUAACUCUUUUGUUAACUCCUCUAAGGUUAUUUUUUAACCUAUUAACUGGUUAAAUCUGGAAUCAAACAAAACAGCUUCACCUUUAUUGAAAAAACUGGCUUUUUUAACCAAGCUUAAAGCAAAUGUCACAAAAAAUAUUUUUAAGAAUUGCACCAUUAUGUACAACCCAUGAUCAUUGAUCUUACAUGACUGACAGUUUUGCAGACAUUGAAUGACAUUGCUCCAGAAGCAAACUGCUGUACUUUUCAGCUGACAUUUUUUGCCAUAUCAGUCUAUGCUGCAGAUGUAUUUCAAUCAUUCAUAAUUGUUGGUUUUGCGAAGCACUACUACACUUUCCAGGUAACAACAUGUUCUAGACCAGGGGUAUCCAAUGUCGGUCCAGCGAGUUUAGCUACAACUCGGCCCAACACACCUGUUUAGAAGUUUCUAGUCUGCUUUGUGAGACCUUGAUUAGCUGUUCAGGUGUGUUUAAUUAGGUUUGAAGCUAAACUUUGCAGGACACCCGCCCUCCAGGACUGACUUUAGACACCCCUGUUCUAGACAGAAUCACAUAUGGUCAAUGAGCCUGUGUAGUUUACAUGUUAUGUUAAAGAACUGAGUAUUUAAGGAGCUGUUUGUGAAGGUAGGUCAUAUUUAACUCUGGUUACCUAAAUUGUUACUAGUGCUUCCAUAUCUCUUUUAUUUGCUCACUACAUACCAAAGCACACCACAGAGGCAGGACUUUGAUUCCAGUAAAUGCAGACAAAACCUGAUGAACAAGAUCGUUUGUAUGCAUCAAGGAAAUACAUUUAAUUAACUCAAUACAAAGACACUUUUAUCAGAAGUGACUAACAAAUAAUAUAGCCCUAACAUUUUGUCAAUCAGCUAACAAAGAGGGCAGUUGACACACUGUUUACAUGUAGAACUAGAGAUAUGGAAAAUAGCUUCACAGAACAUAGUUUUUUUUAGAGUAAAUAUUACAGAGUUUUGGCAUGUCCACAACAUCAACGUUUAACGCCUCGUGACUAAACAAAUGGCGCAAAUGUGAGUGUGCACACCGACGCGCAAAACGGCAGGCGUAAAAGCGCAAUUAUUUUUUAAACGCCUCCGGCUUGUUCUUUUUGUUUGAUGUGCAGUGUAAAAAAACAGACUGACCAAUGACAAUGACGCUUUUGUUCACGUUUUUGGAGCUGAGUUACAGUGAAACACGAUUUGGUGGAACUCAUGCCCAAGCGAGUGAAGUAGGGUUUCAACGCAGUGUUCAUCUUACGUGUAGCGUGGGUAGAGAAGAGAAAUCCUCAAGACAAGAGAGUUGAAUCCAAUCGGUAACAGUUAAUGGAAUUACAUGCACAACAAACACAACCUAACCAAUACCAGACAAGGAACUGAGGAACACACAGGGCUUAAAUACACGGGGAAACGCAAUCAAGGGAAACAGAAUCAGGUCAGGGACUAAUUAACUAAUAAAGAUAUCAGACACAGAAGGCAACAACAAACCAAAACAUAGAACAACCGUGACAUUACCCCCCCUCCCAGAGGUGUGUCCUCGCGCCUAUACAGUACCAAUUGGGGAAGGGGGGUGGGCGUCCUGGAGGCUGGAGUAGGGAAAACAGGACAUGGUGAGAUGGGUGGCCUACAGGACGAUACACUCGGCUCGGGAGGUCCGGAAGGUGCCGGUAGCUCUGGAAGGGGACGGACACUCUGGAAGCUGGACGACCGGACUGGCCAUCGCACCCGUAUGGCCCCCUCAAAUAAAAGUUUGGGCUGAGUCCAGGUGCCUACAGAGAGGCUUGACGGGACUGGUUCGGGGACUGCCUGGGCAGGACCGGGCUCUGGCGGCUUGGCAGGGCUGGGCUCUAGCGGCUGGGCAGCACCGGGCUCUGGCGGCUGGGAGGCCUCUUGACGGCCGGACGGGACCGGCUGGAAGGCCUCUGGAUUUUAUAAAUUUGUGAUGAAUUAUUUUUACGAGUAUAAUGCACAGAUGUUGCCUGUUGCACAUGUGAGGUCAUUGAGUGGUCUGUGUGAACCUUUCUUAGCUGGCUGCUGCCUCACAUAAGUGCCAAGGUUCGGCCGAAGCAUGUUUUCCUUCUAAAAAAAACAUCAUCCUUGAGCUUCCCAUAAGUGUGCAAAUCUUGUCUUUCAGGCUUAUUGCUUAAAUGGUCAAAUACACAUAAUUAUGUCAAAAUGUCCAUCAGGUUUUUCUCAAACACAAUCGGGUAUGAAGUCAAUUGUAUUUUGGGACGUGUAUCCGCUUCAUCGCAACUCUUAAAGUGCCACAGCCUUUAAGGAACCACUGUCAUUCACACCAGCAGUUAUUAGGUCACUGACUGUUUGUGUUUACUUCAAAGGUUUUGAAGUAAAAAAUAUAUAUUAGGUUAAGCAUUUCCAAAUAUAUUAUUAAGCAUUUCUAUUCUUAUAAAUACUUUCAGUAUUUAAAAUUGUAGAAAAAAACAUUACAUAUACAGUUUUUACACAAUUUACAAACAAGGAAAAAUCCUAGAAUGAAAUCCUAAAAGGACUGACUGUUAAUUUUGUCAAGACCAUUGUUGUCAAUUAUUUAACGAUAGCAUACAAGUUUGCCGAAAUGAAACUGUUCUGGGCAAACUCUUUGUCGUCCAUGCAGCCUUGCAUGGACAUAGCAGGAGCACAGCAAUACAUGUCCCCCAAAACAAAAUUGCACCCUGCAACAAUCUGCAAAAGAUGGGUGAGCAAGUUGUUAAGUGCCAAAUGGGUUAAAUUAGCUGUUAGCUGUCCUGGGAAGCAUACACCCUGCAAAAAAGGACUAGUUGCAUGAGCGAUUGUUGACGAGACGAAUUGGUUAAACUAGCAGUAAGGCUGGCGGAAAAGCGUACACCUUGAACAAAUAGCAAUGGGGUUGUGUAGCAGUUUUUAGCAAAGCGAAAGGGUGAAACAAGCAGUAAAGCUGACAGGGAAGCGUACAGACAGCAAUAAAAUGCACAGGAGUUAUAGGAGCUAGUUGUAAGCAGACUGAACAUGUUAAACAAGCAGUUAGCUGUCAGGGGAAGCAUACACCCUGCGGCGAAUUUCACAAAUGUUACAUGAGCAAGUUGUUAUGAGCUGAAUGGUUUAAUCUAACAGUAAAGCUACAAGUGUAAAUGAGCUAAAAAGGUAAAACUAGCAGUAUUUGACUGGGAAGGCAUACACCCUGCAACGAUAGCACCAGAGUUAUGGGAGCAAGUUGUAAGAAAAACAAAAGGGUUAAACUAGAAGUAAAGCUGUCUGGGUAAGCAUACACCCAGCAACAAUAUGGCAGUAGAGUUACAUGAGCAAGUGUUAACGAGCUGAACGGGUUAAACUAGCAGUAGCUGGGUGGGGAAGCAUACACCCUGCAAUGAUAUAGCAGCAGAGUUACAUGAGCAAGUUGUUAAGGAGCCAAGUGGGUGAAACGAGCUGUACGCUGGCAGGGGAUACAUACACCCUAGUCCCACGUAGUCAGACAUACGGAAAAUUCUCAAGUGCACUAUAGGUACCCGGAUGAUGCACUCAUUCGACAAAAAUAUGAAGUGUGGAACUCUGGACUAUUCAAUCACUCAACAGUCGCAGUUCGCUUAUGUGGCAGAAGGGAGGCUUACACAGCUAGGUCUGGGAACCUUCGCCACUUCUUUAGCCGAGGCUCACCCGAGAGGCCAUAUGAACAACAGUGAGCGUACAGACUAUGAGGAGCGAGCGUUAACUGGAAAACACGGAGUGGAAUAUGUGGACCUUGGAGCGGUGUAAAAAGAAAAGGUUUUAGCGGGGAUGUGAAUCCUCUACAUACUACUCCACUUCGGCUAAUUUGAAGAAUCACAAACAUAUGUAAGUGGUAGGUAUGUUUACUAUAAAUGAUAGUAAUAGACAUUUUUAAAUUGUAAACAACUACUAGUUUACUCUAAUUUCAAGUACUUUUUAUUUGGAAUCCGAUUACACAAUCCAGAGUACAUGUAAUCCGUUACUACCCAGCUCUGCUGAUAACCAGCAUAGUAAACCGAGAAUAACGAUUGGCUUAACUUGCCUCAACAAUAUUUAGAAUUUAGACUUCGAUACCAAGUUCACCUGAUAGAUAUAAACCCAUUUAACAAAUAAUUUAUAUAAUAAAUUGUACAAUGAAAUUAAACAAAUAUUUAUUUAACAAAAUAAAUAAUGUUUUAUAAAUUAAUAUGAAUAUGAAUCAAAUAAAAAUAGUUAUCUUAUAAGUGUCAUGACGCUGGAAGACGCAGAGAAUUCGGAGACUCCAAUGCGUGUAUAAUCGCAGAGUUUUUAUUGAAGUACAGUCCAAAAGACCACCAGGCGACACUGGCCUCGAUCACAGGAACCACACGAGUCCGUGGGGAGAGGACUCGACUCAGGGGAAGAAUCAGUUGUAGAAUCCCAACAGGAAAUCCUGAUACUGACAGGGUGCACUCUGAGCAGGGAGGUGCCUCGACCCGCUGGCUGAUUCAGAACGACAGCGGUGGUCACUGGUGGAGAGAUGGUGGGGUGUGAUGAGAGGGAAGGUCUGAGACACCAGUGGGUGCUGAGGGGCACAGAGGAAAAUAACAGAGGGGGCGAAGGCACUUUAGCAAAUAGCAGAAGUUUAAUAAGGCUACGGCUAGUUAACUGUGACUUAGACAUAAACUUAACAGUACUAGAACACGCUAGACUGUGGCAGUCAGACAGAAGACGAGAGGACAAGAGGGGCUAAAUUGUGGGGAACUUAACAGCGGGAAUGAACUACAGGUGAACAAUCAUGAGGAACCAGGGGAAGCUACUGAUAGGGACGAGCUACAGGAGUGCAGGUGAUGGAAACCUGGUGAGGGGAAAGCCUGGCGGGGACAAACAGGGGUGGGCCAAGUGACUUAGGGCCAACAUAGCACCAUGGUAUAAUAACACCACUCGCGCCCUAAAAAGAGAAACGCGUAAACUGGAGCGAAAAUGGAAACAAACCCAAUUAGAGGUCUUUAAAAUUGCAUGGAAAGAGAGUGCAAGCUGUUACAAAAAGGCACUAAAAGCAGCAAAAGCCGAGCACUUCCGUAACCUCAUAGAAAAUAACAAAAACAAUCCAAGGUUUUUAUUUAGUACAAUUGCUAAAUUAACAAACAAACAGACUCCACCUGACCUCGGUAUUCCGCCGCACCUUGGUAGCAAUGAAUUCAUGAAAUUUUUUACCGAGAAAAUCAAAAUAAUACGAGACAACAUAGCUAAAACCAAACCUCCAAGUUUGUCGGAAGAAUUAGUUUCAACCGUCACCCAAAAAGAAAAGCUAGAGUGUUUUUCUCCUAUAAAUCAGGAAGAUUUAAUUAAAAUUAUUGCAACAUCCAAACCGACGACAUGCUUAUUAGACCCCAUUCCGACUACUUUAUUAAAAGAGUUACUACCUGCUGUAAUUGAGCCCAUUUUAACAUAAUCAACUCGUCUAUUAAUCUAGGACAUGUCCCAGGACCCUUUAAGCUGGCUGUAAUUAAGCCUCUUAUCAAAAAACCAAAUUUAGACCCAAAUGAACUUGGAAGCUAUAGACCGAUUUCAAAUCUCCCGUACUUGUCUAAAAUACUAGAAAAAGUAGUGUCAACUCAACUGUGUACCUUCCUACAAAAUAAUGACAUGCACGAAAAGUUUCAGUCUGGCUUUAGACCGCAUCACAGCACUGAAACUGCGCUCGUUAGAAUUACAAAUGACCUUCUUAUUGCUUCAGAUAAAGGUAACAUCUCACUAUUAGUCCUGCUUGACCUUAGUGCUGCUUUCGAUACUGUAGACCAUAAAAUACUACUAGAUCGUUUACACCAUUAUAUCGGUAUUCAGUUAUGGAUUACCUCAGGGAUCGGUUUUAGGACCCUUGCUUUUCUCCAUAUACAUGCUGCCCCUCGGCAACAUUAUUAGAAAACAUGGAAUUAGCUUCCACUGUUAUGCAGAUGAUACUCAGCUAUAUAUCUCAUCAAGACCAAAUGAUUCCUUUAAGCUAUCCAAACUGGCAGAGUGCAUCGAGGACAUAAAACAUUGGAUGACUAGUAAUUUCCUCCUUUUAAACUCUAGCAAAACCGAAAUAUUACUUAUAGCACCAAAAUCAAGUAAACAGAAUAUCUCCGAUUACAGCCUGCAAAUUGAAAGCUGCACUGUUACUCCAACAAAUACAGUUAAAGACCUAGGCGUUAUAUUAGACGGCAACCUGUCAUUUAAAAAUCACAUCUCAAAUAUCACAAAAACAGCCUUCUUCCACCUUAGAAAUGUUGCCAAAUUACGAAAUAGUUUAUGUGUUGCAGACGCAGAAAAGCUUAUUCAUGCAUUUGUGACCUCACGGCUUGACUAUUGUAUUGCUCUACUUAGUGGUUGUUCUGUAUCAUCGAUAAACAAACUACAGUUAGUUCAGAAUGCAGCUGCCAGAGUUCUUACUAGGUCAAAAAAAUACGAUCACAUAACCCCAGUUUUAUCAUCGCUUCACUGGCUACCCAUUAAGUAUCGUAUUGAUUUUUAAAUUCUUUUAAUUACUUACAAAGCCCUGAACGGUUUAGCACCUACUUACUUAACCGAGCUUUUAUCACGUUACAACCCAUCACGCUCGCUGAGAUCUCAAAACUUAGGACUUUUGACAAUACCUAGAAUAACAAAAUCCACCAAAGGUGGACGAGCUUUCUCAUACGUAGCACCUAAACUCUGGAAUAGCCUUCCUGAUACUAUUCGAUGGUCAGACACACUCUCCCAAUUUAAAUCUAGAUUAAAGACACAUCUUUUCAGCCAAGCUUUCACUUAAUGCAUAGUUAAUGAACAGCAGCUACGCUAAUUAUUCUCUUUAUUCUCUUUCCGCCUCUGCCUCGGGAUGCCCAUCCCGAGGUAGGAAGAAGUUCCACCAUGUCCAGGCGACCGACAGAUGCCCAUCCCCAAUUUGAGAUUACACCAGAUACAGCUGCAGACUGACUGACCAUCCCAGCUCCAUCUAAGGCAAUUCCACCAGCUGCCAAGAGAAAUAUGACCAUCGGACCAUCCCAGCUCAGACCACUACAUCCCCAACCAAGAGCAAAGACGGACUAUUUGUCUUAUUAUUGCUGAAGUUACAAUAUUUGGUAUUAAAUGCUAAACCUAAACCACACGUCAGCAGUCUGAGUGCAGCUAUGACACGUCAGAGGGGAUCUGGCCCUCCCGGUUGAGCCUGGUUUCUCCCGAGGUUUUUUUCUCCAUUAAUCAUUGGAGUUUGGGUUCCUCGCCACAGCAGGGCAGUGUUGGCCUGCUCACCGGGAGACUGCAUUCAUUCAUUUAUUUAUUUAUUUAGAAAUUAGAUGUUAUUUAUUAGAAUGAACUUACUCGUUGUAUAAAUACCAUGCACUGUGCUGUGUUUUAACUUUUCUGUUUUUCCUGUUUGCCCCUGUAAAGCUGCUUUGAAACAAUACACAUUGUGAAAAGCGCUAUAUAAAUAAACUUGAAUUGAAUUGAA
This is a long non-coding RNA of Triplophysa dalaica, 8265 nucleotides long. RefSeq lists it as uncharacterized. The transcript is spliced from 2 exons. The record is from RefSeq and is a predicted model, not a curated record. NCBI's taxonomy places the organism in Eukaryota, Metazoa, Chordata, Actinopteri, Cypriniformes, Nemacheilidae.